RNAcentral lists this ribosomal RNA (253 nucleotides) under uncultured bacterium. Its description in RNAcentral is "partial 16S ribosomal RNA". It matches the Rfam family "Bacterial small subunit ribosomal RNA", at positions 524 to 776 of the family's 1533-position model. The record is from RNAcentral.
GACGUAGGGCGCGAGCGUUGUCCGGAUUUAUUGGGCGUAAAGAGCUCGUAGGCGGCUUGUUGCGUCGUCCGUGAAAACUUGUGGCUUAACCACAGGCUGGCGGUCGAUACGGGCAGACUGGAGGUAUGCAGGGGAGAACGGAAUUCCUGGUGUAGCGGUGAAAUGCGCAGAUAUCAGGAGGAACACCGGUGGCGAAGGCGGUUCUCUGGGCAUGUCCUGACGCUGAGGAGCGAAAGUGUGGGGAGCGAACAGG